AACGGGGAUGCUGUGAGCAGACCCCUUUUUUAUAGGGGAAUAAGAGGAAGAGACCUAUUGUCCAAAUCUGGUGGGCGGAUAAAUAGAAAAGAAGAAAAAUGACGGACUGUUUCGUCAGUGCAAUCUUAACUCGGUGCAGAAUGAAGAAACCUUUAUUGUGCUUAGCGGUGUUUACUUCCAGGAAAGUGAGAAUCCUAUGGACCUGCCUUUCCACAGACCCAUGACAAGAUCCUUCACACUCUCUCCUCUCCAAGAGCACUGGCACUCAAAUCAGAAUAGUUCCAAGACCCUAACUGUACACGGCUGUAUCAAAUAAGGAACGACUCUCCAAUCUUUUCUUUUUUUAAACCACAUCUUUAGAAAAAAAGACCAAAUUCUGUUUUGUAAAGGGCAGUGCUCUGUUCUGAAGUGCAAUGAGUGGACAGACUCCUUGUGGAAGACAUUUUCUAUGGGAACAGCUGAUUGGNGCAAGUCCAGCAUAAAAGGCAAAGGAUCUCAACAGUUGAGAUAAAGGAUGACUUGAGUUUGCUUGGUUAGGAUCUAGAAAGAAUACAAACCAUUUGCAAUGUGACACUGCAGCUGAGCAGUGAAGAUCUGGAAGCAAAUGCUUGUGGACAAUGGACUAUAAAAAAAGGAUGGUGCUUGGCAAAAUUGAGGGAAGCAGAAAAAAUGAAUAAAGAUAAUGAAUAAGGUGGAUAAAUGGUGUUC
RNAcentral lists this long non-coding RNA (708 nucleotides) under Salvator merianae (Argentine black and white tegu). Its description in RNAcentral is "lncRNA (ENSSMRG00000014264.1)". Lineage: Eukaryota; Metazoa; Chordata; Lepidosauria; Squamata; Teiidae. The record is from RNAcentral.